AGUGCGCUACAGACUCCUGCAUCCAGUGCGUUACAGACUCCUGCGUUCAGUGCGUACUGUAGGUCAUCAGUGUUAAACACUCAGACAACCUCUUUAAUCCCAAGCCAUUCAUAUCAGCUCUUGCCACUAUGUGCCAUGUGCCAACCUUCA
This is a long non-coding RNA of Bufo bufo (common toad), 150 nucleotides long. RefSeq lists it as uncharacterized. The record is from RefSeq and is a predicted model, not a curated record. The transcript is spliced from 3 exons. NCBI's taxonomy places the organism in Eukaryota, Metazoa, Chordata, Amphibia, Anura, Bufonidae.